UCUCUUUCUUCAUCAACAAUUUGAUCCUAUAUUGGGUCUGUCGGCGCAAGCCGGCUAUGGCGAUAAAUGGCCGUCGUAAUAAGCCUUUCGGACCCGGGGGCAGUACCCGGCGCCUCCACCAGUUCCAGGGUUCGGGAAACAGGAAUCAGGGAUCAGGUAAAAUAGAAGUUCCUGAUGCCUGAUUUCUGACAACUGAUCCCUGAUACGGGGGCGAAACAGGAUCGACGAGGGUGUAAAGGGCGCGCUUUUGCUCGGCAUGGUUCCGCCGUUAUCGGGCCAAUGCAAUAGUUGCCAACGACAACUAUGCUCCGGUUGCUCAGGCCGCGUAAGCGGUUUGAAAGACCGAUCUGAAGCCCUGGCGUCUUAGCAGCGUCAGGCGGGGUUCGGAGGCACCUGGCAACAGAAGCCUCCACU
RNAcentral lists this transfer-messenger RNA (414 nucleotides) under Hyphomicrobiales bacterium. RNAcentral describes it as "Rhizobiales bacterium transfer-messenger RNA". It matches the Rfam family "Alphaproteobacteria transfer-messenger RNA". From Rfam's summary of the family: Bacterial tmRNA, also known as 10Sa RNA or SsrA, is named for its dual tRNA and mRNA-like properties. Its role is to liberate the mRNA from a stalled ribosome. Lineage: Bacteria; Pseudomonadati; Pseudomonadota; Alphaproteobacteria; Hyphomicrobiales. The record is from RNAcentral.